This is a non-coding RNA of Stygiomarasmius scandens, 91 nucleotides long. Lineage: Eukaryota; Fungi; Basidiomycota; Agaricomycetes; Agaricales; Campanellaceae. The record is from the annotation of a GenBank genome assembly.
GCCCGCUUAGCUCAGUGGUAGAGCGCGCCACUCGUAUGAAAAUUCCACCCAAUCGAUGGUGAGGUCGGUUGUUCAAUCCAGCCAGUGGGCA